AUGAGGUGACGAAGAAAUUCAUUGGUCUGUCAAUCCACUGACAUAUUACUAUGUGAUGUUAAUAAUGAAUCCCGACAGGUUCUGAUCGU
Molecule: small nucleolar RNA, 89 nt
Organism: Cornus florida
Lineage: Eukaryota; Viridiplantae; Streptophyta; Magnoliopsida; Cornales; Cornaceae
Product: small nucleolar RNA snoR14
Exons: 1
Source: RefSeq, a predicted model, not a curated record